Molecule: ribosomal RNA, 782 nt
Filed under: uncultured bacterium
Lineage: Bacteria
Description: bacterial SSU rRNA
Rfam family: Bacterial small subunit ribosomal RNA
Source: RNAcentral
AGAGUUUGAUCAUGGCUCAGAAUCAACGCUGGCGGCGUGCCUAACACAUGCAAGUCGAGCGAGAAAAGGGGGGCAACUCCCUGAGUACAGCGGCGCACGGGUGAGUAACACGUGGGUAAUCUGCCUUGGAGUGGGGAAUAACACCGGGAAACCGGUGCUAAUACCGCAUACGAUCACGAUGUCUGCGGACGUUGUGAUGAAAGGAGCAAUUCGCUCUAGGAGGAGCCCGCGGCUGAUUAGCUAGUUGGCGAGGUAACGGCUCACCAAGGCGACGAUCAGUAUCCGGUCUGAGAGGACGGUCGGACACACUGGAACUGAGACACGGUCCAGACUCCUACGGGAGGCAGCAGUGGGGAAUUUUUGGCAAUGGGGGCAACCCUGACCAAGCAACGCCGCGUGGGUGAUGAAGUCCCUUGGGACGUAAAACCCUUUCGACGGGGAAGAAACCGCAAGGUUGACGGUACCCGUAGAAGAAGCCCCGGCUAACUCCGUGCCAGCAGCCGCGGUAAUACGGGGGGGGCAAGCGUUGUUCGGAAUUACUGGGCGUAAAGGGUGCGUAGGCGGUGUUCUAAGUCGGAUGUGAAAACUCUGGGCUCAACCCAGAGCCUGCAUCUGAAACUGGAGUGCUAGAGUUCUGGAGGGGGUAGCGGAAUUCCUGGUGUAGCGGUGAAAUGCGUAGAUAUCAGGAGGAACACCGGUGGCGAAGGCGGCUACCUGGACAGAAACUGACGCUGAGGCACGAAAGCUAGGGGAGCAAACAGGAUUAGAUACCCUAGUAGUCC